AGUGAACGCUGGCGGUAGGCCUAACACUUGCAAGUCGAACGGCAGCACAGUAAGAGCUUGCUCUUACGGGUGGCGAGUGGCGGACGGGUGAGGAAUACAUCGGAAUCUACUUUUUCGUGGGGGAUAACGUAGGGAAACUUACGCUAAUACCGCAUACGACCUACGGGUGAAAGCAGGGGAUCUUCGGACCUUGCGCGAUUGAAUGAGCCGAUGUCGGAUUAGCUAGUUGGCGGGGUAAAGGCCCACCAAGGCGACGAUCCGUAGCUGGUCUGAGAGGAUGAUCAGCCACACUGGAACUGAGACACGGUCCAGACUCCUACGGGAGGCAGCAGUGGGGAAUAUUGGACAAUGGGCGCAAGCCUGAUCCAGCCAUACCGCGUGGGUGAAGAAGGCCUUCGGGUUGUAAAGCCCUUUUGUUGGGAAAGAAAAGCAGCAGGUUAAUACCCCGCUGUUCCGACGGUACCCAAAGAAUAAGCACCGGCUAACUUCGUG
RNAcentral lists this ribosomal RNA (492 nucleotides) under uncultured bacterium. RNAcentral's name for it is "partial 16S ribosomal RNA". It matches the Rfam family "Bacterial small subunit ribosomal RNA", at positions 29 to 507 of the family's 1533-position model. The record is from RNAcentral.